CAAAAAAAAGAAACAAAAGAAAACAAAACAACCCUUCCCAAAAGAAACCAGCACCUUGAAGCAGACCAGUGACUGGAUGCAACAAACAUAUGCAUAUAAAGCUGUUUCGGCAAAAAAGUAUACUGUGUGACAUACUCCAGCUUCCAAUGCCACCAUAAUGAACAAAUAUACGAUGGAGAGGUAGAAAAGAUGGAGAAACAGAGCAAUGCAUGAGUGGUAGAGAGAAGUAGAGAUGCAGCAGCUGUGGCAGGUGUGAGAGAAGGCUGCAGCUGAUGGAGGAAUAGGUCGUUCCCAAUAGGGUUGAAGGGUGAUUUGCAGCAGCCUGGAGCAUGUGUAGACCCAGACUCUGAACAAGCUGCCUGGCUGCACAAUCUCCCUGGCUCUGAGCAAUAACAGGAUGCUCUAGAUGAAGAAUGGUUCAUUUGCUGGAUUGGAUCUCCUCAACCACCCCCCAUGGUCUGUACGUCCUCCAGAGGCCAUGCUGGUCUGUGGCCUGUGCUUUGGCAGAGGACCCUGUUGUACUGCCACCAGAGACCAAGCGGAGGUCCUCAGCACACACUGAUGCUGGAGACCACAUGGAUGUUUAUGUUGUUGCCAGGAACCAUGCAGAAGGCCAGGACCCAUGCUCCUGCAGACACUAGAGAGCAAGGAAGUUACUCUGGCAGAGGUAUCAAUGACUGCAGAUGCACAGUUGAGAAAGAAACAAAGGCUUCUUCGACAAUCCUUACUUCCACCCCACCCCCCAAAAAAGUAACAGCCUGAAAAGGAAGUCAUCAAAGAGAACUCCUAAAAAUUGUGGUACAGAUGCUUAAAUGUAGCUCUCCACAAUUUAUGGCUUCUGGUGGAGGUGCAGGUGGAGAAGGACUCAGUUUUCUUCAGGGGAUGGCCACUGGGAGUUGGAGCUGCUCCAGAACAUUGAUGUGCCGUGGCGUGCAUGUAGAAGUCAGAGGACAGCUUGCAGAAUUUGGUGCUCUACUUCUACCAAGUGGGUCCAGCCCCUGGAAGGAACUCGAGUCAUCAGGCUUGGAGGUGCCUGUUGUUUUCUAAUGAAAGAGAGCAAGAAAGAAUGUGGAUUUGGGGUUUGUCUUAACUGGGGUGAUAGGGGAAUGAAGAAAUGACAAACACACAGACAGAGAAGCUGGGAUUGGAUUGGCCAUACACUUUGAUGGAGCCACACUAAC
Molecule: long non-coding RNA, 1181 nt
Filed under: Cricetulus griseus (Chinese hamster)
Lineage: Eukaryota; Metazoa; Chordata; Mammalia; Rodentia; Cricetidae
Description: lncRNA (ENSCGRG00015036957.1)
Source: RNAcentral